Molecule: ribosomal RNA, 663 nt
Filed under: Salmonella enterica subsp. enterica
Lineage: Bacteria; Pseudomonadati; Pseudomonadota; Gammaproteobacteria; Enterobacterales; Enterobacteriaceae
Description: partial 23S ribosomal RNA
Rfam family: Bacterial large subunit ribosomal RNA
Source: RNAcentral
GAUAGGUGGGAGGCUUUGAAGUGUGGACGCCAGUCUGCAUGGAGCCGACCUUGAAAUACCACCCUUUAAUGUUUGAUGUUCUAACGUGGACCCGUGAUCCGGGUUGCGGACAGUGUCUGGUGGGUAGUUUGACUGGGGCGGUCUCCUCCUAAAGAGUAACGGAGGAGCACGAAGGUUGGCUAAUCCUGGUCGGACAUCAGGAGGUUAGUGCAAUGGCAUAAGCCAGCUUGACUGCGAGCGUGACGGCGCGAGCAGGUGCGAAAGCAGGUCAUAGUGAUCCGGUGGUUCUGAAUGGAAGGGCCAUCGCUCAACGGAUAAAAGGUACUCCGGGGAUAACAGGCUGAUACCGCCCAAGAGUUCAUAUCGACGGCGGUGUUUGGCACCUCGAUGUCGGCUCAUCACAUCCUGGGGCUGAAGUAGGUCCCAAGGGUAUGGCUGUUCGCCAUUUAAAGUGGUACGCGAGCUGGGUUUAGAACGUCGUGAGACAGUUCGGUCCCUAUCUGCCGUGGGCGCUGGAGAACUGAGGGGGGCUGCUCCUAGUACGAGAGGACCGGAGUGGACGCAUCACUGGUGUUCGGGUUGUCAUGCCAAUGGCACUGCCCGGUAGCUAAAUGCGGAAGAGAUAAGUGCUGAAAGCAUCUAAGCACGAAACUUGCCCCGAGA